AUUGAACGCUGGCGGCAGGCCUAACACAUGCAAGUCGAACGAGUGGCGGACGGGUGAGUAAUGUCUGGGAAUCUGCCUGAUGGAGGGGGAUAACUACUGGAAACGGUAGCUAAUACCGCAUACCAUCAGAUGUGCCCAUAUGGGAUUAGCUUGUUGGUGGGGUAACGGCUCACCAAGGCGACGAUCCCUAGCUGGUCUGAGAGGAUGACCAGCCACACUGGAACUGAGACACGGCCCAGACUCCUACGGGAGGCAGCAGUGGGGAAUAUUGCACAAUGGGCGCAAGCCUGAUGCAGCCAUGCCGCGUGUAUGAAGAAGGCCUUCGGGUUGUAAAGUACUUUCAGCGGGGAGGCGUUACCCGCAGAAGAAGCACCGGCUAACUCCGUGCCAGCCGCCGCGGUAAUUC
This 406-nucleotide ribosomal RNA is filed under the name uncultured bacterium. Its description in RNAcentral is "partial 16S ribosomal RNA". It matches the Rfam family "Bacterial small subunit ribosomal RNA", at positions 30 to 526 of the family's 1533-position model. The record is from RNAcentral.